Molecule: ribosomal RNA, 399 nt
Filed under: uncultured Sphingobacteriales bacterium
Lineage: Bacteria; Pseudomonadati; Bacteroidota; Sphingobacteriia; Sphingobacteriales
Description: bacterial SSU rRNA
Rfam family: Bacterial small subunit ribosomal RNA
Source: RNAcentral
UCAAAUGUAUGUUGUACGUAUUCUGAAAGGGAUACUUCUCGGUACAAUAUACAAGGUGCUGCAUGGUUGUCGUCAGCUCGUGCCGUGAGGUGUCGGGUAAGUCCCAUAACGAGCGCAACCCCUAUCAUUAGUUGCCAUCAGGUCAAGCUGGGGACUCUAAUGAAACUGCCUACGCAAGUAGUGAGGAAGGCGGGGAUGACGUCAAAUCAGCACGGCCCUUACGUCCAGGGCUACACACGUGCUACAAUGGCCGGUACAGAGCGCAGCGAGGCCGCGAGGCGGAGCGAAUCGCUUAAAGCCGGUCCCAGUACGGAUUGGAGUCUGCAACCCGACUCCAUGAAGUUGGAAUCGCUAGUAAUCGCGCAUCAGCAUGGCGCGGUGAAUACGUUCCCGGGCCUU